This 237-nucleotide unclassified non-coding RNA is filed under the name Hevea brasiliensis (rubber tree). Lineage: Eukaryota; Viridiplantae; Streptophyta; Magnoliopsida; Malpighiales; Euphorbiaceae. The record is from RNAcentral.
GGCAGAGGUCAUGCAGAAGCUGAAAGGAAAAGUGGCCAUAGUGACUGGUGGUGCCAGCGGAAUUGGGGAAGCAACAGCACGCCUUUUCGCUCAACACGGCGCACGAGCCGUUAUUAUCGCCGACAUCCAAGAUGAAAAGGGCAGAGCGGUGGCGGCAUCCAUCCCUUCACAGAUUUGCAGCUACGUGCAAUGCGACGUGAGUGAUGAAAAUCAAGUGAAAGCCAUGGUGGAUUGGAC